This 1333-nucleotide ribosomal RNA is filed under the name uncultured marine eukaryote. RNAcentral describes it as "SSU rRNA". It matches the Rfam family "Eukaryotic small subunit ribosomal RNA", at positions 411 to 1758 of the family's 1831-position model. The record is from RNAcentral.
CACUUCAAGUGAGGCAGCAGGCGCGCAAUUACCCAAUCCUGACUCAGGGAGGUAGUGACAAGAAAUAACAAUAAACCGGCUUAUGCCGGUUUAAUUGGAAUGAGUACAAUUUAAACAUCUUAACGAGGAACAAUUGGAGGGCAAGUCUGGUGCCAGCAGCCGCGGUAAUUCCAGCUCCAAUAGCGUAUACUAAAGUUGUUGCAGUUAAAAAGCUCGUAGUUGGAUUUCUGUGGGGACGGAGCGGCCGGCCGCACAUCGCGGUUCGAGCUAGCGCUUUCCCUACAUCCUGCCGCGAACCGUGCUACCAUUAAUUUGGUGGCGCCGGGGAUCGGCUCGAUUACUUUGAGAAAAAUAGAGUGUUCAAAGCAGGCCACAUGCCUUGAAUAAGUUAGCAUGGAAUAAUAACUAAGGACUUCGGUUCUAUUUUGUUGGUGUUCGGGACUGAAGUAAUGAUUGAUAGGGACAGUUGGGGCGGUCUGUAUUCCAAAGCGAGAGGUGAAAUUCUUAGACCUUCGGAAGACAAACAGCUGCGAAAGCGUUCCGCAAGGAUGUUCCCUUUGAUCAAGAACGAAAGUUGGGGGAUCGAAGACGAUCAGAUACCGUCGUAGUCUCAACUAUAAACUAUACCAGCUAGGGAUCGGCCAACGUUAUUUUAUACCGACUUGGUCGGCACCUUAUGAGAAAUCAAAGCAUCUGGGUUCCGGGGGGAGUAUGGUCGCAAGGCUGAAACUUAAAGGAAUUGACGGAAGGGCACCACCAGCCGUGGAGCCUGUGGCUUAAUUUGACUCAACACGGGAAAACUUACCAGGUCCAGACAUAGUAAGGAUUGACAGAUUGAUAGCUCUUUCUUGAUUCUGUGGGUGGUGGUGCAUGGCCGUUCUUAGUUGGUGGAGUGAUUUGUCUGGUUAAUUCCGUUAACGAACGAGACCCCAGCCUGCUAAAUAGCGCGCGUGAGCUUUGCUCGCGGCGAGCUUCUUAGAGGGACUAUGAUGCGCGAUAGCACAUGGAAGUUUGGGGCAAUAACAGGUCUGUGAUGCCCUUAGAUGUUCUGGGCCGCACACGGGCUACACUGGCGCCCGCAACGAGCAUAUCAGCUGGCCCGAGAGGGUCUUGGCUAAUCUUUUGAACCGGCGCCGUGCUUGGGAUUGACCUUUGCAAUUGUUGGUCAUGCAACGAGGAAUGCCUUGUAAACGCGAGUCAUCAGCUCGCAUUGAAUACGUCCCUGUCCUUUGUACACACCGCCCGUCGCUCCUACCGAUGAAUGUUCCGAUGAAAUUUUCGGAGAGCACCUGUGAACUUGGCUCUGCCUUGCGAACGGGAGGCUCAAAGUCAC